CAGUCCGUUCUCUAUCAAGAGUGUGUGUGUGUGUGUGUGUGUGUGUGUGUGUGUGUGAGAGGAUCAAGGCUGAUAUGUUGACACAAUAAUCAUACUGUGAUAAAUUAAGUCGGUUAAUUCAGUUAUAAGUGAAAUUUAUUGAUUAAAUUUAUUAAAAUGAAUAAUUUUAGUCUUACAGGAAGCAGCUGAUAUCGAUGUUGAAAGUUUCGUAUUAGAAAGUACGUUCUAUAUUCCAUAAUAUAUAUAAAUAAAAAAAAGAAAUUAGUAAAUGUUAAUGUUAUUUAUUUAAUUCAUGAAUGAAUGAAAAGAUUGAAGACUGGAAGCAGCUGAUUUUGAUGUAGAAAGUUUGUAUUCAAUCUUAAAAAUAAAAAAAAUUAGAAAAGAUUUUUUCUUUUUGUUCUCCCUUUAAGAGUUGAAUAUUAAAUGUUUUAUUAAUUCAUUUAUGAAAUAAAAAUAUGAUCAGAUAUUUCUCAGGUCAGGACAAAUCUGUUCACAUGAUUUGAGUUGUGAUGUCACAAAGGCCUUUCUUCUGACCAAUCACGUCUUGUAUGCAAAUGAUUACAGGAUGACAUUCUAGAAAGACAAAGCUGCAGAAACCUGUGCCGCUAAUGUUUGCGAUGAACAGAUGGUGGUUGUCAUGGUAACAUUAUAUAACUUUACUGUGUUUGUGGGUGGAGGGGGGUGUAAUUUGCAUAUCUAUGUAUAUUCAUAGAGUGUUGCAUUUCUAAUGAGGGUAAAAUGUACAGGGUCAUCUUUAGGGGUUUCCUGGGUGACUAAAGGUUGCUGGUUUCUGUGUGGAACCUUCUGAAACUGAGGAACACUGUUGUAAACCUUCGAAGGACUGGAAAUUGCUGUAGAGAGGAAGAAAGGAACCCUAAGGAGUGUUCUAUCAUGCUGAUCGAUGUCAGAGAGUUCUUCAGUGAUGACUCUGAGCGAUAUCGGACCUCCUCUUAUCUUCCAAAACGGCUUUCCUUCUUUGUCUCUGGAUCAAUUCUUGACUAUUCUCAUUAUCGACAAUUUAAUUAGUUCCAUACAUCUCAGCUGGGGUCUGUCCCGGAGGCGGGGACAGGAACUCCAUCUGCUCUGGAGUUGAAGAAAACCUUUUCUUCUUCCUCUUCUUCUUGGAGCAAAAAUAACAGAUUUACACACCACAGUAAAUCUCUUUCCAGAUGUUUCUAUGCUGUGAAACACUGUGUUGGGAAGUUUAGGUUUGUAAAUAAAUUGCCAGAAAUGCAGGACUAGGAAAAACUAAUUAUGUAUAUAUAAUUAAAAUGUAUUUUUAUUUACUAUAAAUGAAUGAAUGAAUGAAUGAAUGAAUGAAUAAAUAAAUAUGCAGCAAUAAAUCUGAUAAACAAAAUCAACUUAAAAAUUUUUUAAAUACCAUUUCUUAGUAACUGUUUUAUUCUGUUGUUUAAAAUAUUUAUCAAUUUGUUUAUUUUUAUAUUACAAAAUUCUGACAUCAUAUCAGCUGCAUCCAGCUAUUAUUUAUGUAAUUAUUUAAAAAUAAUAGCAACAGAAUAAUUUUUUUAAAUCCCAGCUUUCAUAACAUCUAAGAAAAGUGACACUUAAUCUGAUAUUAUAUCGCAAUUAAAGUGUCGUGAUUAUAUCAUUAAAUCGCCGAGCCCUAAUCCUGAGGAAUCUCCUCACUUGCUUUCCUCAUCUCCUUCACUUUCACUUAAAUAACAAUAGAGCUUCACCCUGUGUCCAUCCUUCUCCCUGUUCUUCUUUUCCUCCUCCUCCUCCUCCUGUCCACCACCAACAUCUGUGAGCCUCCUCAGCCUGGUCCAUUCUCUCUCUAACUGCUCCAUUAUGGAACCUCUUUCACUUGUAAAUGCGCUCAGUGAUCUUGUCGGUGGCUCUUUUAUGCCCUGUACUGGGGUCACACUGAAGAUAUGGAGCGGGGCAGGGGCUGGAGGAGGCCUUGAAAAAGACGGGAGGAGGGAAGAUGCUUACAAAGCAUCGAGUGCUGGUUUUGUGAGCAGAAAGAAUCCUGCUCUUUUGGGUUCCUGUAGGUUUCUGAGGGGGUUCAUAGGUGAAGCGAACACGGCACAUCGUGGCUCGGUGCUAACGCUUUAUACGACAUGUAGGAGAACGUUUGUCUUGUGGUUGUAUUUUUACCACCCGAAUUUCCCCAACACUCUACAAACAGCAAGAAAAAUGUAAAAAAUUAUAAUAAUCCAGCCAAUAAACAAAUGAUUCCUUCACCUCCUGAGUCUCUUCUUGUUGGAGUCGUUUGUUUCUUCUACUAGAAGAGACUCAGGAGGUAAAAGAAUCGCUUGAGUUUCCUGAGCAGAGCUGACUGUGUUUAUCACAUGUUCCAGACAAAUGCAUUGAGUCUGUUAUUAAUUGAAGUCCUCACAAACCAAUCAUUACAGAACAGUGUGUUAGUGUGUUGACGGGGUGUGAAGCGUCUUUAACAGAAACUUUCCACUAAUUCUCAUCGCUAGCAUUUUUUAUUUAUCAACCUAGAACCGGUCUUUCUGAGCUUUCUGUAUAUUUAGCGUAAUUGUGUGUAAGGUCCUGCGAAUGUGUGUGUGUGUGUGUGUGUGUGUGUGUGUGUGUGUGUGUAGGGGUGGGGGUCGGGGAAAGCACCAAGUUUGCAAACAUUCUGAGGUGAGUGUUUUAUCGGACCUCCAUAAAACAGCAGGAGUAGGACAACAACAGGGUCAUCGCCAUGACGCCAGAGUCGCCUCGACAACCAGCCUACAAAAGUGGACCCUGUGUGGGAAUGUGAGGGACCUUCCUGAGGCCAGAGGAUGACCAUGGAUCUCCCAUAUAUGUGUGUGUGUGUGUGUGUGUGUGUGUGUGUGUGUGUGUGUGUGUGUGAGAGAGAGAAAGAGAGCGAAAGUCAAAUAUCUCACUCCAUGUCAUGGAUGGCUGAUUGUGAUUGCUCGGUGAAAUCCUCGCCCCCGCCCUGCCCCGGCCCCGCCCCAAAUUUGUUUAAUGCUGAAAUCCUUGAGUGAUUGAUGAGUUUGCGACACACACUCACGAUUGUCGCAGACAACACACACAUCUCAGGGUUGCGCUAUCACGGCACCAUGACGUCAGCUCCUCGCCCUCGCAGCGAACGACAACAAUCAUGAUUGUUCUGGGGAAAAAACUUGCCUAGCUUAGCCACCAUGCUACACGCCUUCAUCCUUAUUCGCAGCCACUUUCCCAGCAUGCACCUGUAAUGGCCGCUGUGAUUCAGACUGCUCCCAUUUUCCCCUCCUCCUCUUCUUCCUCUCCACUCUUUAAGGGAGCGUAUAAAAGAGUAUUGAUGAAGGUGUAAGGGAUCUGUGCUGAGUUUGUAAGGACACGCCCCCUUUUCCUUAUUUAUUAAACCUGGGCCCGGUGGAGGGAGAGAGCGAGGGAGUGAACGAAGGAAAAAUGAUUGCUUCUGUUUCGAGUCUCGUCGAUAUUCAUUGGCCCGAGCGUUGCAGUGAGGAGGCGGGCGUCACUCUUCACUCGUCUGUAUGGACGCCGGAGCGCGAGCUCGCAGGCGGAGAGAACGCCGAUCGUUACGUGGCUCGGAAGCUUGACAGCGAUCCAAUUAACCUGAAACAGCCUCCUUCGCCUCCUGCGUUCUGCUGAGAGAGAGAGAGAGGGAGAGGGGGAGAGAGAGAGAGAGAGGGAGAGGGGGAACACCCGCAUGCAUGCUGAUGCUCCGAAACUCUCCGUCUCUUGCACAGGGAGAAAAAGAGCGGUGGGGAUGAGCGUUUACAGAACGCUUUCCUUUCCUGACUUCCCUUUCACUCUCUGCUCUUCAUCAUUUCAUCUCGUCUCCUCAAACGCAAACGGAGGAGGGAAGGAAAGUGUGAAAAAAAACUGAAAGAAAUGUUAAAAAAGAUGACAAAAAGGCAGGAAGAUGAAUGAUACAGAAAGGAAAUGAAGAAGAAAUUAAUAGAGGAAAGAGGAAAAGGCGGAAGGAAGGACGGAUGUGGGAGGGACAGAAUGACUGACACACAUACAAAAUGAAGACUGAACAGAAGAAAAGUAAGAAAGAAAAAAAGUAGAGGUUAUAAAAAGACAAGAAAAUGCAAGAAGGAGGCAGAAAAAUAAAUAAAUGAAAGGAUCAUGGAAAGAAGGGAAUGGAAUAAAGAGGAAAAAUGUCAGCUAGAUGGAAAACAAUGGCAUGGAAGAAAGAUUGGAAACAUUGGAAAGAAGGAAUUGAAUUGAGGAUCAAAAGAAAGGAAGGAAUAAAAGGAAAGACAAAAAAGAUGGGAAUGAAGGUGGAAAAAAUAAGCAAGGAAAGAAAGAAAAAUAGAAAAUGUUAGGAAAGAAGAGACGACAAGAAGGAAAUGGUGUAGAGCUCUCAUCUUUUCAUGUCUUCCCAAACUCUCCCUCCAUCCCUUUACUUUAUUUCCUCCACACAGUUUUCCCUCUAUCUGUGUU
Silurus meridionalis is the source of this 4374-nucleotide long non-coding RNA. RefSeq lists it as uncharacterized. The record is from RefSeq and is a predicted model, not a curated record. The transcript has 2 exons. Lineage: Eukaryota; Metazoa; Chordata; Actinopteri; Siluriformes; Siluridae.